GACAGAGGGUGCAAACGUUGUUCGGAAUUACUGGGCGUAAAGCGCGUGUAGGCUGCUCUGAAAGUCGGAUGUGAAAGCCCUGGGCUCAACCUAGGAAGUGCACUCGAUACUACAGAGCUUGAGUUCCGGAGAGGAAGGCGGAAUUCUCGGUGUAGAGGUGAAAUUCGUAGAUAUCUGGAGGAACACCGGUGGCGAAGGCGGCGUUCUGGACUGUUACUGACACUGAGGAACGAAAGCUAGGGGAGCGAACAGG
RNAcentral lists this ribosomal RNA (253 nucleotides) under uncultured bacterium. RNAcentral describes it as "partial 16S ribosomal RNA". It matches the Rfam family "Bacterial small subunit ribosomal RNA", at positions 524 to 776 of the family's 1533-position model. The record is from RNAcentral.